RNAcentral lists this ribosomal RNA (991 nucleotides) under Acinetobacter sp. RNAcentral's name for it is "bacterial SSU rRNA". It matches the Rfam family "Bacterial small subunit ribosomal RNA", at positions 83 to 1067 of the family's 1533-position model. Lineage: Bacteria; Pseudomonadati; Pseudomonadota; Gammaproteobacteria; Moraxellales; Moraxellaceae. The record is from RNAcentral.
CUACUGGACCUAGCGGCGGACGGGUGAGUAAUGCUUAGGAAUCUGCCUAUUAGUGGGGGACAACAUUCCGAAAGGAAUGCUAAUACCGCAUACGUCCUACGGGAGAAAGCAGGGGACCUUCGGGCCUUGCGCUAAUAGAUGAGCCUAAGUCGGAUUAGCUAGUUGGUGGGGUAAAGGCCUACCAAGGCGACGAUCUGUAGCGGGUCUGAGAGGAUGAUCCGCCACACUGGGACUGAGACACGGCCCAGACUCCUACGGGAGGCAGCAGUGGGGAAUAUUGGACAAUGGGGGGAACCCUGAUCCAGCCAUGCCGCGUGUGUGAAGAAGGCCUUAUGGUUGUAAAGCACUUUAAGCGAGGAGGAGGCUACUAGUAUUAAUACUACUGGAUAGUGGACGUUACUCGCAGAAUAAGCACCGGCUAACUCUGUGCCAGCAGCCGCGGUAAUACAGAGGGUGCGAGCGUUAAUCGGAUUUACUGGGCGUAAAGCGUGCGUAGGCGGCCAUUUAAGUCAAAUGUGAAAUCCCCGAGCUUAACUUGGGAAUUGCAUUCGAUACUGGAUGGCUAGAGUAUGGGAGAGGAUGGUAGAAUUCCACGUGUAGCGGUGAAAUGCGUAGAGAUCUGGAGGAAUACCGAUGGCGAAGGCAGCCAUCUGGCCUAAUACUGACGCUGAGGUACGAAAGCAUGGGGAGCAAACAGGAUUAGAUACCCUGGUAGUCCAUGCCGUAAACGAUGUCUACUACCCUUUGGGGCCUUUGAGGCUUUAGUGGCGCAGCUCACGCGAUAAGUAGACCGCCUGGGGAGUACGGUCUCAAGACUAAAACUCAGAUGAAUUGACAGGGGCCCGCACAGGCCAUGCAGCAUGUGGUUUAAUUCUAUGCAACGCGAAGAAGCUUACCUGCCCUUGAGGUACUAGAAACUUUCCAGACAUGGAGUGGGUGCGUUCGGGAAUCUAGAUAAAACUGCCUGCAUGGCUGUGAUAGACUCAUGUCC